RNAcentral lists this ribosomal RNA (242 nucleotides) under uncultured Glomeromycotina. RNAcentral's name for it is "partial 18S ribosomal RNA". The stretch from base 38 to 242 matches the Rfam family "Eukaryotic small subunit ribosomal RNA", at positions 684 to 887 of the family's 1831-position model. The record is from RNAcentral. Lineage: Eukaryota; Fungi; Glomeromycota.
GGGUCAGCAGGUUGGUCGUGCCACUGGUAUGUACUGGCUUCGCUGAUUCCUCCUUUCUGAAGAACUGUAAUGUCAUUAAUUUGGUGUUGCAGGGAAACGGGACUGUUACUUUGAAAAAAUUAGAGUGUUUAAAUCAGGCUAACGCUUGAAAUACAUUAGCAUGGAAUAAUGAAAUAGGACGUUCGAUCCUAUUUUUGUUGGUUUCUAGGGAUUGACGUAAUGAUUAAUAGGGAUAGUUGGGC